Molecule: ribosomal RNA, 781 nt
Filed under: uncultured bacterium
Lineage: Bacteria
Description: bacterial SSU rRNA
Rfam family: Bacterial small subunit ribosomal RNA
Source: RNAcentral
AGUUUGAUUCCUGGCUCAGAACGAACGUUGGCGGCGUGGAUUAGGCAUGCAAGUCGUGGGAAUCCCAGCAAUGGGGGAACCGGCGUAAGGGGCAGUAAGGCAUAGGUACCUACCCUCGGGUUCGGGAUAGCUCUUGGAGACAAGAGGUAAUACCGGAUGAUGUCGUGAGACCAAAGGUCCGCCGCCCGGGGAGGGGCCUAUGUGAUAUUAGCUAGUUGGUGAGGUAACGGCUCACCAAGGCGAAGAUGUCUAGCGGGUGUGAGAGCACGACCCGCGCCACUGGCACUGAGACACUGGCCAGACACCUACGGGUGGCUGCAGUCGAGGAUCUUCGGCAAUGGGCGCAAGCCUGACCGAGCGACGCCGCGUGGGCGACGAAGGCCUUCGGGUUGUAAAGCCCUGUCGAGGGGGAGAAAAGCGAAAGCUUGAUCUAUCCCUGGAGGAAGCACGGGCUAAGUUCGUGCCAGCAGCCGCGGUAAGACGAACCGUGCGAACGUUGUUCGGAAUCACUGGGCUUAAAGGGCGCGUAGGCGGGCUGCCAAGUUUGGGGUGAAAUCCUCCGGCUCAACCGGAGAACGGCCUCAAAUACUGGCGGUCUCGAGGGGGGUAGGGGCAUGCGGAACUAUGCGUGGAGCGGUGAAAUGCGUUGAUAUGCAUAGGAACUCCGGUGGCGAAGGCGGCGUGCUGGACCCUUUCUGACGCUGAGGCGCGAAAGCCAGGGGAGCAAACGGGAUUAGAUACCCCGGUAGUCCUGGCCCUAAACGAUGAGGACUGGGUAGUA